Molecule: ribosomal RNA, 505 nt
Filed under: uncultured bacterium
Lineage: Bacteria
Description: partial 16S ribosomal RNA
Rfam family: Bacterial small subunit ribosomal RNA
Source: RNAcentral
GACGAACGCUGGCGGCGUGCCUAAUACAUGCAAGUCGAACGCACAGUUUAUACCGUAGCUUGCUCCACCAUAGACUGUGAGUUGCGAACGGGUGAGUAACGCGUAGGUAACCUGCCUGGUAGCGGGGGAUAACUAUUGGAAACGAUAGCUAAUACCGCAUAAUAUUGAUUAUUGCAUGAUAAUUGAUUGAAAGAUGCUAUUGCGUCACUACCAGAUGGACCUGCGUUGUAUUAGCUAGUAGGUGAGGUAACGGCUCACCUAGGCGACGAUACAUAGCCGACCUGAGAGGGUGAUCGGCCACACUGGGACUGAGACACGGCCCAGACUCCUACGGGAGGCAGCAGGAGGGAAUCUUCGGCAAUGGACGAAAGUCUGACCGAGCAACGCCGCGGGAGGGAAGAAGGGUUUCGGAUCGUAAAGCUCGGUUGUAAGAGAAGAACGGGUGUGAGAGUGGAAAGUUCACACUGUGACGGUAGCUUACCAGAAAGGGACGGCUAACUACGUG